Molecule: unclassified non-coding RNA, 331 nt
Filed under: soil metagenome
Description: partial contains 5.8S ribosomal RNA, internal transcribed spacer 2, and large subunit ribosomal RNA
Rfam family: 5.8S ribosomal RNA (bases 1-120)
Source: RNAcentral
GAUGAAGAACGCAGCGAAAUGCGAUAAGUAAUGUGAAUUGCAGAAUUCAGUGAAUCAUCGAAUCUUUGAACGCACAUUGCGCCCCCUGGUAUUCCGGGGGGCAUGCCUGUUCGAGCGUCAUUUCACCACUCAAACCUCGCUUGGUAUUGGGCAACGCGGUCCGCCGCGUGCCUCAAAUCGACCGGCUGGGUCUUCUGUCCCCUAAGCGUUGUGGAAACUAUUCGCUAAAGGGUGUUCGGGAGGCUACGCCGUAAAACAACCCCAUUUCUAAGGUUGACCUCGGAUCAGGUAGGGAUACCCGCUGAACUUAAGCAUAUCAAUAAGCGGAGGA